GGGGAUUUAGCUCAGUGGUAGAGCGCUUGCCUAGGAAGCGCAAGGCCCUCAAGGCCCUGGGUUCGGUCCCCAGCUCCG
Molecule: non-coding RNA, 78 nt
Organism: Rattus norvegicus (Norway rat)
Lineage: Eukaryota; Metazoa; Chordata; Mammalia; Rodentia; Muridae
Source: Rfam